GUGAUUUUUUUUUGUGACUCAAUCUGAAUGUGUGUGUGUGGGUGUAGGUGUGUGCGUGUGUGUGUGUGCCAGACCCAGUCAAGUAGCCUCCCUCAGUCUGUACGCAUUCCUUUUACUCUCUCCCUGCAUGAAGCUACUCUCCUUUCCUUCCCUCCUAUGUUUUUAUUUUUACGCGUGUGUGUGUUUGCGAGUGUGUUCCCAUCAGUGUAUGUGUGUGUUUAGGUAAUGGUAGACUAAGCCGAGCAGUUUUGUUGCCCCAGCGUGGCCCGGUGAUUCACCUUUUCUCCUCCAGGUUUCCACCUGGUCACUGGAGCGAUGCACUGAUACGACCUGACACCUGUCUGCUUGGAUGGCCAGCAACAGGCCUCACACACACACACACACACACACACACAGACACACGCGCACACACACCUACCUACCUACACAUGCACUCUAUGCAUCCAUGCAUAAACAUGCGCUCACUCUCGAGCCCUCAAUUGCCCACAAACAGAUGAAGGUGCAUUCCAGCUCCUGCACAAGAUUGAAGAUGAAGAAGGCCCUCAAGCCACUUUGUGAACCUCUAGCCACUCCGGUGUCAGAGGUGGAUCUGCCAUCUGGAGUUGGGAGUCGACCUGUCCACCAAGGGUGAGUUCAGCAACAUCCCCUCCGAACGUCCCAUGACGCUUGGCAGUGCUGAUGUAGACGAAAAGCUGCCUCGAUGCAGCAACUGGCUGAUUUCGGAGCGCAGACUGCCGACGAGUUGACCCUAACAGAGGAACGUGGAGGACCAGCAGACCAAAACUGCAAACAAAAAAGAUUGGAAAUGGAUUGGCAAAUGAAGUCACAACUGUCCCUUGUGGGCAGAAUAUCACAAAUUAAAUUAUGUGGUUGCGCUGGAGCUGACAGAGCAAUGUACAUGUUGCCCGUCAACACACAGCACCAGAAUGUUUUUCCAUACAGUAACUGGCAUUUUACUGUAUUAUCCUGCCCUUCGGUGUUGUUGUAAAUAUUGGAAAUAUAAGUUAAAUGCACAUGAACAAUGCAUGAGCGACUGGGAAUAUGUCAUCUUCGAUUUGCUUAGAUAGUGCCCUGCAUACAUGAAAUAAUAAACUAGCAACGCUUUGGUACAAAUAUGAUAAUGUAAAUAUAACAUCUUCUAAACACGUUUUAGAUAAAGGCAUUCCAUGUAAAUAUUGCAAAUGAGCAAUAAUGAGCUAUUGUAUCCAGUACAAACAAAGCUCAUUAUUUUGCAACUGAUAAUAACUAAUAAUAAAAUGGAUAUUUCAGUUACUGCUGCACAAUGCAUGAAAGUCUAUGGUGGUCCAGUCACUCCUAUUGUAUUUUUACAGCGAAUAUAAAUAAUUCCAACUAAAGAUACAAAUUGAAGCCUGCUUUCCCCUUAGAAAAUGUAAAUACUUGAAUAUAAAGGCAUCCAAAAAUAAAGCCCACCAGCAUCAAGGUGCACAGCAAUUCUUGCAGAGAUGCAUCUCUGGUUUUUAGAAUUAACACAUACCAGCAACUACCAUUGUACCCAGCUUGUGACUGGCUGCCAGUCCCUGUUGACUGAUCCCACUCAUUAAGCAUUUCACUGAGACAUACAUCGAUGGAUCGCAGUGGCUGCUGCCAGAGCUAAUCAGCAUGAAGGAAGAGGUUAGCGAGUUUUAAUGCCAACAGCCAAAAAUAUUGGAAAUGUUUCCUUAAGUUUUAAAUGCCAAAAUGGCUGAAUAACAUUCUCUGUCUUGACCUCCCAACGUAACAGCAAAAAGUAAAUCUUUCUGUUUUUACAGCUAUUAAGAAUAUUAAAGAAAACAUUUUUAUUCACUGCUCAUGGUCACUGGCUUCAGUCGAAAAGUUCUUUGCUUCAUGGUUAUAUGAAAG
This is a long non-coding RNA of Dicentrarchus labrax (European seabass), 1860 nucleotides long. Lineage: Eukaryota; Metazoa; Chordata; Actinopteri; Moronidae. The record is from Ensembl.